Molecule: transfer RNA, 69 nt
Filed under: Bacteroidota bacterium
Lineage: Bacteria; Pseudomonadati; Bacteroidota
Also listed under: 1 other name
Description: tRNA-Lys
Source: RNAcentral
GAAGUAUUUAAAAUAAAUGCCCAUUGACUCUUAAUCAAUGGGUCGAGGGUUCGAGUCCCUCCGGGGUCA